RNAcentral lists this ribosomal RNA (436 nucleotides) under Arthrobacter sp. S717-22. Its description in RNAcentral is "bacterial SSU rRNA". It matches the Rfam family "Bacterial small subunit ribosomal RNA", at positions 28 to 474 of the family's 1533-position model. Lineage: Bacteria; Bacillati; Actinomycetota; Actinomycetes; Micrococcales; Micrococcaceae. The record is from RNAcentral.
GAUGAACGCUGGCGGCGUGCUUAACACAUGCAAGUCGAACGAUGAUCCCGGUGCUUGCACCGGGUGAUUAGUGGCGAACGGGUGAGUAACACGUGAGUAACCUGCCCCCGACUCUGGGAUAAGCCCGGGAAACUGGGUCUAAUACCGGAUAUUCACUUCCUUCCGCAUGGGAGGUGGUGGAAAGAUUUAUCGGUGGGGGAUGGACUCGCGGCCUAUCAGCUUGUUGGUGGGGUAAUGGCCCACCAAGGCGACGACGGGUAGCCGGCCUGAGAGGGUGACCGGCCACACUGGGACUGAGACACGGCCCAGACUCCUACGGGAGGCAGCAGUGGGGAAUAUUGCACAAUGGGCGAAAGCCUGAUGCAGCGACGCCGCGUGAGGGAUGACGGCCUUCGGGUUGUAAACCUCUUUCAGUAGGGAAGAAGCGAAAGUGACG